AGUGAACGCUGGCGGUAGGCCUAACACAUGCAAGUCGAACGGCAGCACAGUAAGAGCUUGCUCUUACGGGUGGCGAGUGGCGGGCGGGUGAGGAAUACAUCGGAAUCUACUUUUUCGUGGGGGAUAACGUAGGGAAACUUACGCUAAUACCGCAUACGACCUACGGGUGAAAGCAGGGAAUCUUCGGACCUUGCGCGAUUGAAUGAGCCGAUGUCGGAUUAGCUAGUUGGCGGGGUAAAGGCCCACCAAGGCGACGAUCCGUAGCUGGUCUGAGAGGAUGAUCAGCCACACUGGAACUGAGACACGGUCCAGACUCCUACGGGAGGCAGCAGUGGGGAAUAUUGGACAAUGGGCGCAAGCCUGAUCCAGCCAUACCGCGUGGGUGAAGAAGGCCUUCGGGUUGUAAAGCCCUUUUGUUGGGAAAGAAAAGCAGCAGGUUAAUACCCCGCUGUUCUGACGGUACCCAAAGAAUAAGCACCGGCUAACUUCGUG
This 492-nucleotide ribosomal RNA is filed under the name uncultured bacterium. Its description in RNAcentral is "partial 16S ribosomal RNA". It matches the Rfam family "Bacterial small subunit ribosomal RNA", at positions 29 to 507 of the family's 1533-position model. The record is from RNAcentral.